This 474-nucleotide ribosomal RNA is filed under the name uncultured bacterium. RNAcentral's name for it is "bacterial SSU rRNA". It matches the Rfam family "Bacterial small subunit ribosomal RNA", at positions 44 to 507 of the family's 1533-position model. The record is from RNAcentral.
AGGCUUAAUACAUGCAAGUCGAGGGGCAGCGGGAGUAGCAAUACUUGCCGGCGACCGGCGCACGGGUGCGUAACACGUAUGUAAUCUCGCCCAUCACAGGAGGAUAGCCCGGAGUAAAUUCGGAUUAAUACUCCAUAAUAGAAGAUAAAGCUAUUUUAUUUUCUUGAAAGUUCCGACGGUGAUGGAUGAACAUGCGACUGAUUAGUUUGUUGGUGAGGUAACGGCUCACCAAGACUACGAUCAGUAGGGGUACUGAGAGGUUAAACCCCCCACACUGGUACUGAGACACGGACCAGACUCCUACGGGAGGCAGCAGUAAGGAAUAUUGGACAAUGGCCGCAAGGCUGAUCCAGCCAUGCCGCGUGCAGGAAGACGGACCUAUGGUUUGUAAACUGUCUUUUGAACGGGAACGAAAACCCCCCUACGUGUAGGGGGCUGAUAGUACUGUUAGAAUAAGCAUCGGCUAACUUCGUG